CCUACGGGUGGCAGCAGUGAGGAAUAUUGGUCAAUGGGCGCAAGCCUGAACCAGCCAAGUAGCGUGAAGGAUGACUGCCCUCCGGGUUGUAAACUUCUUUUAUAAAGGAGUAAAGUGAGGCACGUGUGCCUCUUUGUAUGUACUUUAUGAAUAAGGAUCGGCUAACUCCGUGCAAGCAGCCGCGGUAAUACGGAGGAUCCGUGCGUUAUCCGGAUUUAUUGGGUUUAAAGGGAGCGUAGAUGGGUUGUUAAGUCAGUUGUGAAAGUUUGCGGCUCAACCGUAAAAUUGCAAUUGAUACUGGCAGCCUUGAGUACAGUUGAGGUAGGCGGAAUUCGUGGUGUAGCGGUGAAAUGCUUAGAUAUCACGAAGAACUCCGAUUGCGAAGGCAGCCUACUAAACUGCAACUGACAUUGAUGCUCGAAAGUGUGGGUAUCAAACAGGAUUAGAUACCCCAGUAGUC
Molecule: ribosomal RNA, 460 nt
Filed under: uncultured bacterium
Lineage: Bacteria
Description: partial 16S ribosomal RNA
Rfam family: Bacterial small subunit ribosomal RNA
Source: RNAcentral